CGGACGGGUGAGUAAUGUCUGGGAAACUGCCUGAUGAGGGGGAGUAACUACUGGAAACGGUAGCUAAUACCGCAUAACGUCGCAAGACCAAAGAGGGGGACCUUCGGGCCUCUUGCCAUCGGAUGUGCCCAGAUGGGAUUGGCUAGUAGGUGGGGUAACGGCUCACCUAGGCGACGAUCCCUAGCUGGUCUGAGAGGAUGCCAGCCACACUGGAACUGAGACACGGUCCAG
Molecule: ribosomal RNA, 231 nt
Filed under: uncultured bacterium
Lineage: Bacteria
Description: partial 16S ribosomal RNA
Rfam family: Bacterial small subunit ribosomal RNA
Source: RNAcentral